RNAcentral lists this ribosomal RNA (488 nucleotides) under uncultured bacterium. RNAcentral's name for it is "bacterial SSU rRNA". It matches the Rfam family "Bacterial small subunit ribosomal RNA", at positions 29 to 507 of the family's 1533-position model. The record is from RNAcentral.
AUGAACGCUAGCGACAGGCCUAACACAUGCAAGUCGAGGGGCAGCAUGGUAUCAGCUUGCUGAUACCGAUGGCGACCGGCGCACGGGUGAGUAACGCGUAUGUAAUCUGCCUGUAACAGAGGGAUAACCCGGAGAAAUCCGGCCUAAUACCUCAUAGCACAUAUUAUUCGCAUGAGUUUUAUGUUAAAGAGACUCGGUUACAGAUGAACAUGCGUUCCAUUAGCUGGUUGGCGGGGUAACGGCCCACCAAGGCGACGAUGGAUAGGGGUUCUGAGAGGAAGGUCCCCCACACUGGUACUGAGACACGGACCAGACUCCUACGGGAGGCAGCAGUGAGGAAUAUUGGUCAAUGGACGAGAGUCUGAACCAGCCAAGUAGCGUGAAGGAUGAAGGUCCUACGGAUUGUAAACUUCUUUUAUAAGGGAAUAAAACCUCCCACGUGUGGGAGCUUGUAUGUACCUUAUGAAUAAGCAUCGGCUAACUCCGUG